GGUUGCGAUCAUACCAGCACUAAUGCACCGGAUCCCAUCCGAACUCCGCAGUUAAGCGUGCUUGGGCGAGAGUAGUACUAUGAUGGGUGACCCCCUGGGAAGUCCUCGUGUUGCAACCCC
This 120-nucleotide ribosomal RNA is filed under the name Helianthus annuus (common sunflower). The record is from RNAcentral. Lineage: Eukaryota; Viridiplantae; Streptophyta; Magnoliopsida; Asterales; Asteraceae.